RNAcentral lists this long non-coding RNA (3538 nucleotides) under Marmota monax (woodchuck). The record is from RNAcentral. Lineage: Eukaryota; Metazoa; Chordata; Mammalia; Rodentia; Sciuridae.
AUCCCCAGGCCGCCCCUCGCCUUCCCAGGCCGGAAGUGCCGGCCGCGCCGGAGGCUGUGCGUUGGGUUUCGCGCCCGGCUUGUGCUGUCGAAUUCCGGGGCUCCACUUUCCGGGAGCCAGACUCUCCCAAAUGCGGAGAAGGCUGAUGGGCUGGUGCUGCUGGUUCCUCCGGCAGGCGGUGAAGUAGAGGCGCCUUUCCCACAGCGGUCUUACCACCGUGUGGACCUUCGGGUGGAGGACUCCCGGCGUCUCCGGCAUGGCAACCUCCCGCGCGGCGGGCUGCUUUCGGGUGUUCGGUCUGCUCGUUGGGGAGUCGGUCCGACUCAGGGCUGGGGCUCCGGUCCGGCUCGGUUGUCCCCACCCCACUCCGCCCCCCCCUUUUUUUCUUGAACUAUUUUCCUUUCAAACGCGAUACCCAAAUUCAACCAAAGCAAACUCUGCCUACCUCUACGUACGUGUUCCAAGAAAAUAAUGAGCAAACUUGAAAUGCAUCCGAGAAAGAAGGAAAAAGGUAUAAAAAGGAAGUGGUGUGUGAGCUAAAAAUGGAGAUAAGGAAAGAAAAUUGGGCUGACCUGCCCUGGGAGCUGACUUGAAGGAAAACAGGAUGUCAACCUUACUUUGACUGGAUUGCCUUUUUAAAUUCUGGAGCUUUGAUGAUCUACAAAACUGACCGCUCUGCUACUAUCUGCCGACAAGGUGUUCCUUCCGAGAGCCUCAAGAAUGGAUGUUAGAUGCUAAGAAUCAAAAGAAACAAUACCCCGAGGCAACUGUUGAUGAGGCCGCAAAGCGUAAAGACAAAUGUUUCCCACCGUUUCUUGAAAAGGUUUUAACUGAUGAUUAGGAAAUGCGGGUCAAAAGGCCAAUGGAAUUGAUAAAAAAGUGGUAAAUCCCUUACUAAAGUGAUUUGAGAGACAAAUCCUAUAUUAAAUCUUGAGAUUUUUGAGUUUCUAUUAUCACCUAUUUUCAUCCUGCUCUUGCUAUCUGUCAUAAAUACUAUAAGUUGUGGAGAACACGGUGAUUCAGAAAAGGAGAGUGAAUGAGGAAAUGACUCAUCUAGAAAAGUAAAACGGAAAGGCUUAAGUGCUCACUUUUCUUCUGGGCAAAAAAAAAUAUAUAUAUAUUUCCUUUAUGCUAAUACAGCAAUUGUAUUUGAUGGUAUGUCUUGAAUUUCUUGUAAUGAAAAACAGCUCCCCUUCCUCUUUUGCAUGCCCUUGACCUGCUGAAGUAAUUUGUCAAGUAAGAUUCCUUAUGCUAUGGAUUUGUGUGAUGGAUUCCUUGAUCUGGCACUUAGCAUCUUGAAACUUGAGUUUAUUUUUUUUUAACUAGAAAAUCUCAAAUGUUGGGCAGAUACUCUCACAGUAGACUUAAAGUAAAAAACACAACAGCCAUUAUGUGAAACUGCUCAAUGGUUUAAAAGAAGGUAACCGUUCUCAGAAAUUGGAUCAUAUGAUUCUUCAUUUGACAACUCCUGCAAAAGGAAGUGUCUUAAAAUUUAAUUAUGAUUUAUAUAUUAAUGAGGAUAAGUCUCCUAAUAACUUAUUUUUUUUGGAAAAAAUGGCAGAAAAUCUUAAAAAUACAGUGGACAAAAAUAAAAGUGUUGUAUACUUCCAGUAAUAAUUUGUAACAAAAACCUGGCAGGUGAAAUAUGGACAAUUUUUUUUAAAAAAUAUCAUCAAAAGGGCUGGGGAUGUGGCUCAAGCGGUAGCAUGCUCUCCUGGCAUGUGUGCGGCCCGGGUUCCAUCCUCAGCACCACAUACAAAGAAAGAUGUUGUGUCCGCCGAAAACUAAAAAAUAAUAUUUAUUUUUUAAGAUUCCCUCUCUCUCUCUCUCUCUCUCUCUCUCUCUCUCUCUCUCUCUCUCUCGCUUUCCCCCUCUCUCAUAAAAAAAAGAAUAUUUCUUUUAAAAAAUAUCAAAAGACAAAAAGAUAAUACAAUAUUAGCUGGCCGACAUUCAGAAAAUGUUGGGGGAGUCAUGCAUUUGGGGCCACUUCUUUUUGUUUUCCCUAUUACACAUCCAUCUUCCUUCACAAUUGCCUGCCCUGUAUAUUUCAAGCUCCUCUGUGUCACGUGAUGACUACAAACAGCUUUAUAGAGAUGCUUUAUCAGCUCCCAAGAAAGUAAAAUGUCUAUCUACAGCAGUGUAAGAAAAAAAUGUGUGAGAACAGUAGCACAAUAGAUGAGAGAAAUUGGAAGUAUAAUGUUAUAAAAUAUACUUACAGGAAGCUGAUCAAUUAAAAGAGGAUAUUGCAAAGCUUGAGGAAACCACCAAAAGUUAAAAAUAAGUAAUGAACCAAUAUUAGAGUUAAAGUGGAACCAUAAAAUAAUCAACCUAAAAGAAAUCUGAAAUGCAGAAAAAGAAAAUGCACAUAGGCCAAAUGGGAAAUAAUAGCUACGUGGCAGACUGUAUUCCAAUAAUAUUAAUAAUUACAUUAAGUAUAAAUGGCCUAGGCAUACCAAUUUAUAUUUUUUAAAAAAGUGCAGCAUCCUUAUGCUCAAGAGAUUUCAUAUAAGUUUUCUAUAUGAAAUUCACUUUAAACAGAGUAAAGGUAAGAAAGUAGAAAAGGACAUACUACACAAGAAGUAGAAUUAAUUAAGAGUGGCUAUUUUAGUAUUACACAGUAGACUUCUGAACAAGGAAUAUUACAGAGUAUCAGUGGCUGGUGUUGUGGCUCAGUGGUAGAGCGCUUGCCUGGCAAAUAAAAAAAAAUCCCUUCAGUAAAGAAGAACACAGCUUGAAAAGUGAAAAGAAAAUGAGGAACAGGUUAAAAAGGGGAAGAUAUGUGUGGGUUAGAAAUGGAGAACUUGAAAACUCAAUCCAACUUUCACUGGAUUUUCUACUUAAUUCAAUAGGUAUUGGAUGCUUCUAGAACUCUUUGUUUUUGGUUGUGGGGAUGAAACCCAGGGUGCUUAACCACUGAGCCACAUCCUCAGCCCUUUUUAGAGACAGGGCCUUGCUAAGUUGCUGAGGCUGGCUUUGAACUCUUGAUCCUCCCGCCUCAGCCUCCCAAGCCACUGGGAUUACAGGUGUGCACCACUGCUCCCAUACAGAACCCUUGACAGUAUUACCUGGCAUCCAUUCCAAAUGCAUGAAUCCACAAAAAAGCAUCUCAAGCUUUAAGGGUUUCUUUGUUGUUUUUGUUAGUUAUAGAUGGACAUGAUACCUUUAUUUUGCUUAUUUAUUUAUAUGUGGUGCUGAGGAUCAAACAUGGUAGGCAAGGGCUCUACCACUGAGCCACAACCCUGGGCACCCCCAUCCUGAACUUUAAGUUAUAAAGCAGAAUCAUCAAAAGCUUUCAGCUGUUCCUUGACUUGAAUUUCUUCUUAUGAACUAUAGGUCACCAGGCCUCUGAAAGGAACUGUGUUAAUGUCAAGGAAUUAUUAUAUGUAAAAAAGAUAAAUAUAUAAAACUCUGAAAUCAUUUUGUUCAAGUAUUCUAUCACCUAGUACCCUCUUCUUGGUAUCAGAAAAACAACUAAGUGUUUUAGGAAUAUGGAAAGCAGUGAGACCAGGAUUUUUAUCAGGUGAUUUGGUGAAGGUUG